GCCGGUGUGGCGAAAUGGCAGACGCAGGGGACUUAAAAUCCCCUGGCCGCAAGGCCGUGCGGGUUCGAGUCCCGCCACCGGCACCA
This 86-nucleotide transfer RNA is filed under the name Verrucomicrobiota bacterium. RNAcentral describes it as "tRNA-Leu". It matches the Rfam family "tRNA". Rfam says of the family: Transfer RNA (tRNA) molecules are approximately 80 nucleotides in length. Their secondary structure includes four short double-helical elements and three loops (D, anti-codon, and T loops). Lineage: Bacteria; Pseudomonadati; Verrucomicrobiota. The record is from RNAcentral.